RNAcentral lists this ribosomal RNA (402 nucleotides) under uncultured bacterium. Its description in RNAcentral is "bacterial SSU rRNA". It matches the Rfam family "Bacterial small subunit ribosomal RNA", at positions 355 to 774 of the family's 1533-position model. The record is from RNAcentral.
UGGGGAAUAUUGCACAAUGGGCGAAAGCCUGAUGCAGCAACGCCGCGUGAGUGAUGAAGGCCUUCGGGUUGUAAAGCUCUGUCGUUUGGGACGAUAAUGACGGUACCAAAGGAGGAAGCCACGGCUACCUACGUGCCAGCAGCCGCGGUAAUACGUAGGUGGCAAGCGUGGUCCGGAAUUACGGGGCGUAAAGAAUGCGUAGGUGGAUAUGCAAGUCAGAUGUGAAAUACCCGGGCUCAACUUGGGUGCUGCAUUUGAAACUAUAUAUCUAGAGUGCAGGAGAGGAAAGCGGAAUUCCUAGUGUAGCGGUGAAAUGCGUAGAGAUUAGGAAGAACACCAGUGGCGAAGGCGGCUUUCUGAACUGUAACUGACACUGAGGCAUGAAAGCGUGGGGAGCAAACA